UGGCUGGAUUAGGCACCGGCCUUCUAAGCCGGCGGUUACAGGUUCGAUUCCUGU
This 54-nucleotide transfer RNA is filed under the name Stenotrophomonas lactitubi. RNAcentral describes it as "tRNA_Arg_TCT". It matches the Rfam family "tRNA", at positions 1 to 63 of the family's 71-position model. From Rfam's summary of the family: Transfer RNA (tRNA) molecules are approximately 80 nucleotides in length. Their secondary structure includes four short double-helical elements and three loops (D, anti-codon, and T loops). Lineage: Bacteria; Pseudomonadati; Pseudomonadota; Gammaproteobacteria; Lysobacterales; Lysobacteraceae. The record is from RNAcentral.